MicroRNA precursor from Oryza rufipogon (brownbeard rice), 209 nucleotides. It matches the Rfam family "MIR812 microRNA precursor family". NCBI's taxonomy places the organism in Eukaryota, Viridiplantae, Streptophyta, Magnoliopsida, Poales, Poaceae. The record is from Rfam.
AAUAAAUACAGUUUUAGCACGGUUCAUAUCUAACGUUUGACCGUUCGUCUUAUUUGAAAAAAAUUAUAAUUAGUAUUUUUAUUGUUAUUCCAUGAUAAAACAUGAGUAUUACUUUACGUGUGACUAUUUUUUAAAAAAAAAUUCAUAAAAAUUUCAAAUAAGAUGGACGGUAAAAACGUUAAACACGGAUAUCUAUGGCUGUACUUAUU